AACGAACGCUGGCGGCAGGCCUAACACAUGCAAGUCGAGCGGACCUUUCGGGGUCAGCGGCGGACGGGUGAGUAACGCGUGGGAAUAUGCCCUUCUCUACGGAAUAGUCCUGGGAAACUGGGGUAAUACCGUAUACGCCCUUUGGGGGAAAGAUUUAUCGGGGAAGGAUUAGCCCGCGUUGGAUUAGGUAGUUGGUGGGGUAAUGGCCUACCAAGCCGACGAUCCAUAGCUGGUUUGAGAGGAUGAUCAGCCACACUGGGACUGAGACACGGCCCAGACUCCUACGGGAGGCAGCAGUGGGGAAUCUUAGACAAUGGGGGCAACCCUGAUCUAGCCAUGCCGCGUGAGUGAUGAAGGCCUUAGGGUUGAAAAGCUCUUUCAGCUGGGAAGAUAAUGACGGUACCAGCAGAAGAAGCCCCGGCUAACUCCGUG
Molecule: ribosomal RNA, 432 nt
Filed under: uncultured bacterium
Lineage: Bacteria
Description: partial 16S ribosomal RNA
Rfam family: Bacterial small subunit ribosomal RNA
Source: RNAcentral